UACGAAGGGGGCUAGCGUUGCUCGGAAUCACUGGGCGUAAAGGGUGCGUAGGCGGGUCUUUAAGUCAGGGGUGAAAUCCUGGAGCUCAACUCCAGAACUGCCUUUGAUACUGAAGAUCUUGAGUUCGGGAGAGGUGAGUGGAACUGCGAGUGUAGAGGUGAAAUUCGUAGAUAUUCGGAGGAACACCAGUGGCGAAGGCGGCUCACUGGCCCGAUACUGACGCUGAGGUGCGAAAGCGUGGGGAGCAAACAGG
RNAcentral lists this ribosomal RNA (253 nucleotides) under uncultured bacterium. Its description in RNAcentral is "partial 16S ribosomal RNA". It matches the Rfam family "Bacterial small subunit ribosomal RNA", at positions 524 to 776 of the family's 1533-position model. The record is from RNAcentral.